This 317-nucleotide ribosomal RNA is filed under the name uncultured eukaryote. RNAcentral describes it as "partial 18S ribosomal RNA". It matches the Rfam family "Eukaryotic small subunit ribosomal RNA", at positions 1470 to 1796 of the family's 1831-position model. The record is from RNAcentral.
CCCUUAGAUGUUCUGGGCUGCACGCGCGCUACACUGAUACUUUCAGCGAGUCCACCACCUUGCCUGGGAGGGUGGGGUAACCUCUGGAAAGUGCAUCGUGAUGGGGAUCGAUUAUUGUAAUUAUUAAUCUUCAACGAGGAAUUCCUAGUAAGCAUGUGUCAUCAGCCCGUGCUGAUUACGUCCCUGCCCUUUGUACACACCGCCCGUCGCUCCUACCGAUUGAUUGAUCCGGUGAAUUACAUAGAAUUUUGCGUUUUACAUGACGGAAGACGAAGUGUUUUAAACCUUAUCAUUUAGAGGAAGGAGAAGUCGUAACA